GGCGAACGGGUGCGUAAUACAUCGGAACAUGUCCAUUCGUGGGGGAUAGCCCGGCGAAAGCCGGAUUAAUACCGCAUGAGCCCGAGAGGGGAAAGUGGGGGACUCGAAAGGGCCUCACGCGGAUGGGUUGGCCGAUGUCCGAUUAGCUAGUUGGCGGGGUAAAGGCCCACCAAGGCGAUGAUCGGUAGCUGGUCUGAGAGGAUGAUCAGCCACACUGGGACUGAGACACGGCCCAGACUCCUACGGGAGGCAGCAGUGGGGAAUUUUGGACAAUGGGGGCAACCCUGAUCCAGCCAUUCCGCGUGAGUGAAGAAGGCCUUCGGGUUGUAAAGCUCUUUUGUCCGGAACGGAAACGGGUAGCGUGAAUAUCGUGCCUACUGACGGUACCCGGGAAGAAUAAGCACC
Molecule: ribosomal RNA, 405 nt
Filed under: uncultured bacterium
Lineage: Bacteria
Description: bacterial SSU rRNA
Rfam family: Bacterial small subunit ribosomal RNA
Source: RNAcentral